AGUUAGCGAGCAGCUAGGGUGGAGUCGGCCUCAAAGGUUCCGCUCUCAUGUCGGCAAGUGUGAUUUGAAUUUUAAAACACUGAGCUUUGCCGGUGGAAGAGUUCCCAAGUUUAUUCCGACCUACGGAAGCCCAGGAGGACCAGGAUUACCGCUGCCGCUGGAUGCGUCCAGGGCCGGGAUGCGCGACCGUGAGACGCUGCGCUUCCGAAGCCCUCGCAGGCUUCCGGGUGCCAGAGCAGGAGACAUACCCUCUGUCCAGCCUUCCACUCUCAGCCCCCAGUUUUUUUCCUACUUUUGCUUUUCAGGAGUCGUCCAGCAAGACUUGAAAGGAGGAGAAAGGCCUGCUGGACAGGAUGCUAGAGCCUGGCAGUGACCACUUGGGGGCCCUGGGCAUUAAAUAAACUUCUUGGGGCCCGUUUCGUUAUUACACUUGGCUCUAGAUUUGUUGUGCGUUUCAGUGAGAAGUACCUGUAUGUGGUUCAUGUGAGCCUCCUCCUCGCCACUUGUGAAAAAUCCUCCCAGCCUGAACCGAGGGAACUAAAUUGCUUUCCCAGCAAACUGCGGUUUUCCACACUGCUCACGCCCACAAACUGUGUGUUACGAGUUCACAACUUUUUCUUCGUCAAUAAUCCCGCGUAUUACUCUCCCAGCCGUUUCCCAGCGUGUCAUGUGCUGAGAAAUGGUGGGCUUAGCCACGCAAACGUUUACUGAGCAUCUACUAUUUGGUAGGAGCUGUUAGGCACCAUGCUAGCAGUGGAGAUAAAGAUGAGUAAGACAUGGCCUUGCACGUGAGGAGCUCCUUGUCCAAAGAAAACCACAGAGGUAUAUUACAAGAAAACUCUAUUUGUAAAUGUAUGAAAGCAUUUCAUCAAUGCAGCCAACAUUUUCUGAGCAGCUGCAUGUGAUAAAAUGGUGAGGACAGAAGAAUCUAGUAGAGGAAGCAGCUUCAAUACAGUGCCAUAAUAAAAACACUGUACAUGGGGCAUAAUAGAAACACUGUACAUAUAAAGGGCAGUUUAUUCUGCUGCAGUGUGGGAGAGCAGGGAGAGUGGUUUCAGGUGAGUUGAAUACAGGGGUGGAGAGCCAGCUACAUAGGAAGUAAAAUUUGAAUUAGUAGGCACUGUUUAAUAUCUUCGAUGUGUUGGGGUGUUUGUAAAAGGAAUGUAAUAAGAAAUACUCAAGAAAAGAGUGCCAGCCGCGCGCGGUGGCUCACGCCUGUAAUCCCAACACUUUGCGAGGCCGAGGCGGGCGGAUCACAAGGUCAGGCGUUUGAGACCAGCCUGGCCAACAUGGCGAAACCCCGUCUCUACUAAAAAUACAAAAGUUAGCCGGGAAUGGUGGCCGGCACCUGUAAUCCCAGCUACUCUGGAGGCUGAGGCAGGACAAUCACUUGAACCUGGGAGAAGGAGGCUGCAGUGAUCCUGCCACUGCACUCCAGCUUGGGCAACAGAGUGAGAUUCCCUCUCAAAAAUAAAAAUAAAAAAAAUUAAAAAAAAGAGAGAAAUACCAAAUCCCUACUGAUUUAUCAUUUCUUCAGCCUUUCUUCCCCCUUCGGAGCACAGGAUUUAACAGCUGGGUGGAUCAUAUGGCCUUUCUAAACAAUACCUCCUUUAUCCUGUUUUUUUUUUUCUGUUUUUUUUUUCUUUCAAGACUCCUAAAGAACUGGAUUCAUUUAUUCAAAGUCAACUGAAGUCUUUGCCCUCUCUUCUCUCUCGUACGGGGUUAGAAGCCUUGUUAACAGGAAGUGAAUUUGUCCCAUCAAAUACAAUCUUCUGUUGAUUGUCUCCUCGAAAAAGGGUCAGUGCAGGGCCUCCGUGGUAACUGAAUACUCCCAAGAGCAUCGCCGCUAUCCCAGGUUCCCAUACAUGGUAUGUUCAGGUCAGAUCAGGUUUCUCCUUUUGUGGUUUCGGGGCCUUUGAAUUUGGAUCUGAAAU
This 1934-nucleotide long non-coding RNA is filed under the name Homo sapiens (human). Its description in RNAcentral is "non-protein coding lnc-ZBTB49-4:2". Lineage: Eukaryota; Metazoa; Chordata; Mammalia; Primates; Hominidae. The record is from RNAcentral.